CACGUAGGGGGCGAGCGUUGUUCGGAAUCAUUGGGCGUAAAGGGCGCGCAGGCGGCGUUUAAAGUCUGGCGUGGAAGUCCCCGGCUCAACCGGGGGACGGCGUUGGAAACUGGGACGCUUGAGUAAGGCAGGGGAUGGCGGAAUUCCAGGUGUAGGGGUGAAAUCUGUAGAUAUCUGGAGGAACACCGACGGCGAAGGCAGCCAUCUGGUCCAUUACUGACGCUGAGGCGCGAAGGUGCGGGGAGCAAACAGGUUUAGAUACCCUGGUAGUCCGCACAGUAAACGAUGUGCACCAGGUGUUGGUCAUAAACUGAUCAGUACCGCAGCAAACGCGAUAAGUGCACCGCCUGGGGAGUAUGCCCGCAAGGGUGAAACUCAAAGGAAUUGACGGGGGCCUGCACAAGCGGUGGAGCAUGUGGUUUAAUUCGAUGAUACGCGAGGAACCUUACCAGGGCUUGACAUGUGCCGGAAUGGAUGUGAAAGCAUUCAGCUUUUCGGAGCCGGCACACAGGUGCUGCAUGGCU
This 524-nucleotide ribosomal RNA is filed under the name uncultured bacterium. Its description in RNAcentral is "bacterial SSU rRNA". It matches the Rfam family "Bacterial small subunit ribosomal RNA", at positions 524 to 1050 of the family's 1533-position model. The record is from RNAcentral.